CCUACGGGAGGCAGCAGUGGGGAAUAUUGGGCAAUGGGCGCAAGCCUGAACCAGCAACGCCGCGUGAAGGAAGAAGGCUUUCGGGUUGGAAACUUCUUUUGUCAGGGAAGAAGCACGUGACGGUACCUGACGAAUAAGCCACGGCUAAGUACGUGCCAGCAGCAGCGGUAAUACGUAGGUGGCAAGCGUUAUCCGGAUUUAAGGGGUGUAAAGGGCGUGUAGGCGGGGAAGCAAGUCAGAUGUGAAAACCACGGGCUCAACCUGUGGCCUGCAUUUGAAACUGUUAUUCUGGAGUGCUGGAGAGGCAAUCGGAAUUCCGUGUGUAGCGGUGAAAUGCUUAGAUAUACGGAGGAACACCAGUGGCGAAGGCAGAUUGCUGGACAGUAACUGACGCUGAGGCGCGAAAGCGUGGGGAGCAAACAGGAUUAGAUACCCCAGUAGUC
Molecule: ribosomal RNA, 443 nt
Filed under: uncultured bacterium
Lineage: Bacteria
Description: partial 16S ribosomal RNA
Rfam family: Bacterial small subunit ribosomal RNA
Source: RNAcentral